UGAGGAAUCUUGCGCAAUGGGGGAAACCCUGACGCAGCCCACGCCGCGUGGGUGAAAGGAAGGCCCUUCGGGUUGAUAAAGCCCUGUCAGGUGGGAAGAACCGCAGUCUGGCCAAUACCUGGACUGCUUGACGGUACCACCAAAGGAAGCACCGGCUAACUCCGUGCCAGCAGCCGCGGUAAUACGGAGGGUGCAAGCGUUGUUCGGAAUUACUGGGCGUAAAGCGCGUGUAGGCGGACCGGUAAGUUGGGAGUGAAGCCCUGGGCUCAACCCAGGAAGUGCUUCCAAUACUGCCGGCCUUGAGUUCCGGAGAGGGUGGUGGAAUUCCCCGGUGUAGAGGUGAAAUUCGUAGAUAUCGGGAGGAACACCAGUGGCGAAGGCGACCACCUGGACGAGAACUGACGCUGAGACGCGAAA
This 417-nucleotide ribosomal RNA is filed under the name uncultured bacterium. RNAcentral's name for it is "partial 16S ribosomal RNA". It matches the Rfam family "Bacterial small subunit ribosomal RNA", at positions 355 to 758 of the family's 1533-position model. The record is from RNAcentral.